RNAcentral lists this transfer RNA (77 nucleotides) under Acidobacteriota bacterium. RNAcentral describes it as "Acidobacteria bacterium (wastewater metagenome) tRNA-Phe". It matches the Rfam family "tRNA". Rfam says of the family: Transfer RNA (tRNA) molecules are approximately 80 nucleotides in length. Their secondary structure includes four short double-helical elements and three loops (D, anti-codon, and T loops). The record is from RNAcentral. Lineage: Bacteria; Pseudomonadati; Acidobacteriota.
GCCGAGGUAGCUCAGUCCGGUAGAGCAGGGGACUGAAAAUCCCUGUGUCGGCGGUUCAAUUCCGUCCCUCGGCACCA